UCUGGUCUAUCUUAUAGGAGGGACUAGAUAUCACUCUGUCUAUCUUAUAGGAGUGGUUCUAGAUCACUCUGUCUAUCUUCUAGGAGUGGUUCUAGAUCACUGUCUGUUAUAGGAGUGGUUCUAGAUCACUCUGUCUAUGUUAUAGGAGUGGUUCUAGAUCACUCUGUCUAUCUUCUAGGAGUGGUUCUAGAUCACUCUGUCUGUUAUAGGAGUGGUUCUAGAUCACUCUGUCUAUGUUAUAGGAGUGGUUCUAGAUCACUCUGUCUAUGUUAUAGGAGUGGUUCUAGUGCUCUCUGUGUCUGAGGGGAGGCACUAACAUAAUUAUCAUGAAGUUCAUUAAAUCUUUAAGCCAGAGGUGUUAAUAGCGACAGAUUUCCACCAUCAGUGGUAGAUGUGUAGAGACUAAUCUAUGAGAUGAGGUAGUGUUGAUGAACAGGGCAGGAAGUCGUUUCCUACGAUAGUAACAGGUACUAGAGGUGAACCAUCUGACUGUUUUACUGCUCAAUUCAGUUAUACAGCACCAGACGUCUUGAUCGUUAACUCAUAUCUGAGAUGAUCUGAUGUGUUGAGGGUGAAGGUGUUGAGGGUGAAAAUGUCUUUGUGAAGGUGGAGGGGGUGAAGAUGUCUUUGUGAAGGUGGAGGGGGUGAAGUUGUCUUUGUGAAGGUAGAGGGGGUGAAGAUGUCUUUGUGAAGGUGUUGAGGGUGAAGCUGUUGAGGGUGAAGUUGUCUUUGUGAAAGCUGUCUUUGUGAAGCUGUUGAGGGUGAAACUGUUGAGGGUGAAGAUGUCUUUGUGAAGGUGUUGAGGGUGAAGAUGUCUUUGUGAAGCUGUCUUUGUGAAGGUGUUGAGGGUGAAAAUGUAUUUGUGAAGAUGUUGAGGGUGAAACUGUAUUUGUGAAGUUGUUGAGGGUGAAGAUGUCUUUGUGAAGCUGUCUUUGUGAAGGUGUUGAGGGUGAAGCUGUCUUUGUGAAGGUGUUGAGGGUGAAGCUGUCUUUGUGAAGGUGUUGAGGGUGAAGCUGUCUUUGUGAAGGUGUUGAGGGUGAAGAUAUCUUUGUGAAGCUGUUGAGGGUGAAGAUGUUUUUGUGAAGGUGCUCAUUACAGUAAGUCUGCAUUACAAAUAGCAGCCUAUUCCCUUCAUAGUAAGCCUCUGGUCUAAAGUAGUGCCCUAUAUAGGGAAUAGGGUGCCGUUUAAGGAUGCAGGUCCUGUGUUUCAGUCUCCUGGUCUGUUUGUCGGUAAUCAUUCCUCCUGAUCUGCCAUCGCUGCUCCCAAGGCACGCUGCUGUCCUGAAGUGUCCAUGUUGCUAUGGUGACAGGUUGCCAUGCUGACUGCUUUCUGAUUGGUUGGCUUAGAGAGAGGUGUCUGUCUGUGUAGAUGGAAUAUGUUUUUCCAGUUGUGCUCUCUCGUCUGCGUCUUACAGUGUCAAUGUAAUGUCUACCUUUGUUCAGGUUCAAAUCCUUUUGUCAUCCCGUCACUGGGCAGUUUGUUCACAGCACAACAAAUAGUAUUUGUGUAUUUUUUAAAGCAACAAAGUCCUAUAAUUCAACACUCCAUUGGAAUCCACGAUGCCAAUAUCAUUUUUCCUUCUGGGGGGUAAAUAAAGUGUACCAGUCUUUACAUUCUGGAAUUCCUAAAUCCCAAAGUCCCCUUUUUCCUCUGUGGAGUGUUGGUGGUGAUCCAGGAUGAGCUGCGGGGUCGAGCUCUGAGCCUGAGUAGCUCCUACGCUGAGAGGAGCAGGCAGGACCAGCCUUAGGCCCCAGGCAGCUUCUAUUUGAUGCUGGAAUCCCCUAGGUGAGGAUGCUGGGGUUGGCUGGGCGCGAGAUUUACUCUGAUCCUCGGGGGCUCCAGGAUUCUUUUCUCUCUUUUCCUGUGUCCCAAAAGGCAACCUCUAUUCCCUACAUAGUGCACUACUUUCCAUUGGUGGUGACUGUGAUUCAGUAUUCCAGGGGUACACAUGAACAAGCCUUGCUGUUGUUGUGGUCCUGAGGAAAAUGACCCUCUCUGGGACUUCCUGCCAGGGCUGAGGAGUUAACAACACAUGAGUUCUUCAGAUCUGGCUUGUCGUUGUAGAGGACUAAGGUCCCAGUUUAAGGCAGGUAGGAAAGCUUGGUCUGUGUUGGUACCUACACAGCAUUUUAACAGCAGGUUAUACUCGGAUGCAUGUUCCUGUGUGUGUGUGUGUGUGUGUGUGUGUGUGUGUGUGUGUGUGUGGAAGAUGUAUUGUAGAGAAAACAGAGAUAAAUCACCUGAUUUGACAGUCAGAAGAACAAUGACAUGAAACAUCAAUUAAACUACAGCAGGAUGGAGAGAGAAAGGAGAGCUGCUCUGCUCACACACGCACGCACGCACGCACGCACACACACACACACACACACACACACGCACAAGCACACGCACACGCGCACACGCACACACACACACACUCUUGUCUCUAUCAGAG
This 2435-nucleotide long non-coding RNA is filed under the name Salmo salar (Atlantic salmon). Its description in RNAcentral is "lncRNA (ENSSSAG00000084971.1)". Lineage: Eukaryota; Metazoa; Chordata; Actinopteri; Salmoniformes; Salmonidae. The record is from RNAcentral.